UACAGAGGGUGCGAGCGUUGUUCGGAAUUAUUGGGCGUAAAGGGCGCGUAGGCGGUGCGGUAAGUCACCUGUGAAAUCUCCUGGCUCAACUGGGAGCUUGCAGGCGAAACUGCCGUGCUGGAGUGUGGGAGAGGUGCGUGGAAUUCCCGGUGUAGCGGUGAAAUGCGUAGAUAUCAGGAAGAACACCCGUGGCGAAGGCGGCUCUCUGGUACGUGACUGACGCUGAGACGCGAAAGCGUGGGGAGCAAACAGG
Molecule: ribosomal RNA, 253 nt
Filed under: uncultured bacterium
Lineage: Bacteria
Description: partial 16S ribosomal RNA
Rfam family: Bacterial small subunit ribosomal RNA
Source: RNAcentral